RNAcentral lists this ribosomal RNA (1559 nucleotides) under Escherichia coli O26:H11. RNAcentral's name for it is "bacterial LSU rRNA". It matches the Rfam family "Bacterial large subunit ribosomal RNA", at positions 1325 to 2864 of the family's 2925-position model. The record is from RNAcentral. Lineage: Bacteria; Pseudomonadati; Pseudomonadota; Gammaproteobacteria; Enterobacterales; Enterobacteriaceae.
AAAGCCCGCUCGCCGGAAGACCAAGGGUUCCUGUCCAACGUUAAUCGGGGCAGGGUGAGUCGACCCCUAAGGCGAGGCCGAAAGGCGUAGUCGAUGGGAAACAGGUUAAUAUUCCUGUACUUGGUGUUACUGCGAAGGGGGGACGGAGAAGGCUAUGUUGGCCGGGCGACGGUUGUCCCGGUUUAAGCGUGUAGGCUGGUUUUCCAGGCAAAUCCGGAAAAUCAAGGCUGAGGCGUGAUGACGAGGCACUGCGGUGCUGAAGCAACAAAUGCCCUGCUUCCAGGAAAAGCCUCUAAGCAUCAGGUAACAUCAAAUCGUACCCCAAACCGACACAGGUGGUCAGGUAGAGAAUACCAAGGCGCUUGAGAGAACUCGGGUGAAGGAACUAGGCAAAAUGGUGCCGUAACUUCGGGAGAAGGCACGCUGAUAUGUAGGUGAAGUCCCUCGCGGAUGGAGCUGAAAUCAGUCGAAGAUACCAGCUGGCUGCAACUGUUUAUUAAAAACACAGCACUGUGCAAACACGAAAGUGGACGUAUACGGUGUGACGCCUGCCCGGUGCCGGAAGGUUAAUUGAUGGGGUUAGCGCAAGCGAAGCUCUUGAUCGAAGCCCCGGUAAACGGCGGCCGUAACUAUAACGGUCCUAAGGUAGCGAAAUUCCUUGUCGGGUAAGUUCCGACCUGCACGAAUGGCGUAAUGAUGGCCAGGCUGUCUCCACCCGAGACUCAGUGAAAUUGAACUCGCUGUGAAGAUGCAGUGUACCCGCGGCAAGACGGAAAGACCCCGUGAACCUUUACUAUAGCUUGACACUGAACAUUGAGCCUUGAUGUGUAGGAUAGGUGGGAGGCUUUGAAGUGUGGACGCCAGUCUGCAUGGAGCCGACCUUGAAAUACCACCCUUUAAUGUUUGAUGUUCUAACGUUGACCCGUAAUCCGGGUUGCGGACAGUGUCUGGUGGGUAGUUUGACUGGGGCGGUCUCCUCCUAAAGAGUAACGGAGGAGCACGAAGGUUGGCUAAUCCUGGUCGGACAUCAGGAGGUUAGUGCAAUGGCAUAAGCCAGCUUGACUGCGAGCGUGACGGCGCGAGCAGGUGCGAAAGCAGGUCAUAGUGAUCCGGUGGUUCUGAAUGGAAGGGCCAUCGCUCAACGGAUAAAAGGUACUCCGGGGAUAACAGGCUGAUACCGCCCAAGAGUUCAUAUCGACGGCGGUGUUUGGCACCUCGAUGUCGGCUCAUCACAUCCUGGGGCUGAAGUAGGUCCCAAGGGUAUGGCUGUUCGCCAUUUAAAGUGGUACGCGAGCUGGGUUUAGAACGUCGUGAGACAGUUCGGUCCCUAUCUGCCGUGGGCGCUGGAGAACUGAGGGGGGCUGCUCCUAGUACGAGAGGACCGGAGUGGACGCAUCACUGGUGUUCGGGUUGUCAUGCCAAUGGCACUGCCCGGUAGCUAAAUGCGGAAGAGAUAAGUGCUGAAAGCAUCUAAGCACGAAACUUGCCCCGAGAUGAGUUCUCCCUGACUCCUUGAGAGUCCUGAAGGAACGUUGAAGACGACGACGUUGAUAGGCCGG